Molecule: ribosomal RNA, 616 nt
Filed under: uncultured bacterium
Lineage: Bacteria
Description: bacterial SSU rRNA
Rfam family: Bacterial small subunit ribosomal RNA
Source: RNAcentral
CCUACGGGAGGCAGCAGUGGGGAAUUUUGGACAAUGGGCGCAAGCCUGAUCCAGCAAUGCCGCGUGAGUGAAGAAGGCCUUCGGGUUGUAAAGCUCUUUUGUCAGGGAAGAAACGGUGGGGGCUAAUAUCUCCUACUAAUGACGGUACCUGAAGAAUAAGCACCGGCUAACUACGUGCCAGCAGCCGCGGUAAUACGUAGGGUGCAAGCGUUAAUCGGAAUUACUGGGCGUAAAGCGUGCGCAGGCGGUUUUGUAAGUCUGUCGUGAAAGCCCCGGGCUCAACCUGGGAAUUGCGAUGGAGACUGCAAGGCUUGAAUCUGGCAGAGGGGGGUAGAAUUCCACGUGUAGCAGUGAAAUGCGUAGAGAUGUGGAGGAACACCGAUGGCGAAGGCAGCCCCCUGGGUCAAGAUUGACGCUCAUGCACGAAAGCGUGGGGAGCAAACAGGAUUAGAUACCCUGGUAGUCCACGCCCUAAACGAUGUCUACUAGUUGUCGGGUUUUAAUUAACUUGGUAACGCAGCUAACGCGUGAAGUAGACCGCCUGGGGAGUCGGUCGCAAGAUUAAACUCAAAGGAUUGACCGGUNUGAGAGNGCGAGACGACGACGAGGGAGGAGG